GUGGAAGCUGAAUUAGUGAGGAUGACUCCUGCUCCUGUCAUCUCUAAGCUCCUCACACAUCUUUACCUGCACAUGAGGAAAAUCACUCCUGUAGAAUGCAGAUGCACAAUGAGGGACGUCUGCAGAGACUGAGAAAGAGUCUCACCACAUCCUGACAUGAGGAAAAAGACUUUAUUGAAGACUACAAUGAGAAAAACUAUCAGACAGCAGACGGCUGCAUUCAAGGUGAGCUCUGAACAUUUGAUCUGGAACAAGAAUUCAAUAACGGCAGCAUGAGCUUCAUUUCAGUCUGUAGCUGCUGAAUUCAUGGAUGAAUCAUCUGGCACUAGAGAAGAAGACCAUCAAACAUCCACGUCAGCUGAUGGAGGUCCAAGAGUCUCACCGAACAACCAACCUACAGAGUGAAGACCUCAAAUCUGAUUGGACGGCCUCCUAUUCAGCCACAUGUGUGAACAAAUGCCUCUAAGCUGAUUUGUUUUCUAAAAUAAAUCUAGUUUGAGUCCUAAUCUAUGCCU
Long non-coding RNA from Amphiprion ocellaris (clown anemonefish), 515 nucleotides. The record is from Ensembl. Lineage: Eukaryota; Metazoa; Chordata; Actinopteri; Pomacentridae.